Molecule: non-coding RNA, 45 nt
Filed under: Schistosoma margrebowiei
Lineage: Eukaryota; Metazoa; Platyhelminthes; Trematoda; Strigeidida; Schistosomatidae
Source: RNAcentral
AUCCAGCUGAAAAGUCCCAAAGAGAGCGAAACGCGCGUCCUGGAU